GAUGAACGCUGGCGGCGUGCCUAAUACAUGCAAGUCGAGCGAACAGACGAGGAGCUUGCUCCUCUGACGUUAGCGGCGGACGGGUGAGUAACACGUGGAUAUCCUACCUAUAAGACUGGGAUAACUUCGGGAAACCGGAGCUAAUACCGGAUAAUAUAUUGAACCGCAUGGUUCAAUAGUGAAAGACGGUUUUGCUGUCACUUAUAGAUGGAUCCGCGCCGCAUUAGCUAGUUGGUAAGGUAACGGCUUACCAAGGCAACGAUGCGUAGCCGACCUGAGAGGGUGAUCGGCCACACGGGAACUGAGACACGGUCCAGACUCCAAGGGGAGGCAGCAGUAGGGAACCUUCCGAAAUGGGCGAAAGCUUGACGGAGCAACGCGGCGUGGGUGAUGAAGGUCUUCGGAUCGUAAAACUCUGUUAUUAGGGAAGAACAAAUGUGUAAGUAACUAUGCACGUCUUGACGGUACCAAAUCAGGAAGCACGGCUAACUACGUG
RNAcentral lists this ribosomal RNA (496 nucleotides) under uncultured bacterium. RNAcentral's name for it is "partial 16S ribosomal RNA". It matches the Rfam family "Bacterial small subunit ribosomal RNA", at positions 28 to 507 of the family's 1533-position model. The record is from RNAcentral.